UACAGAGGGUGCAAGCGUUAAUCGGAAUUACUGGGCGUAAAGCGCACGUAGGCGGUUUUUUAAGUCAGAUGUGAAAGCCCCGGGCUCAACCUGGGAAUUGCAUUUGAAACUGGGAAACUAGAGUGUGUGAGAGGGGGGUAGAAUUCCAAGUGUAGCGGUGAAAUGCGUAGAGAUUUGGAGGAAUACCAGUGGCGAAGGCGGCCCCCUGGCACAACACUGACGCUCAGGUGCGAAAGCGUGGGGAGCAAACAGG
RNAcentral lists this ribosomal RNA (253 nucleotides) under uncultured bacterium. Its description in RNAcentral is "partial 16S ribosomal RNA". It matches the Rfam family "Bacterial small subunit ribosomal RNA", at positions 524 to 776 of the family's 1533-position model. The record is from RNAcentral.